GAUGAAUGCUGGCGGCGCGCUUAACACAUGCAGGUCGAGCGGCAGCGCGAGUAGUUUACUACUUGGCGGCGAGCGGCGGACGGCUGAGUAACGCGUAGGAACGUGCCCCAAAGUGAGGAAUAACCGCCCGCAAGGGUGGCUAAUGCCGCAUAUGAUCUUCGGAUUAAAGGAUUUAUCCGCUUUGGGAGCGGCCUGCGUAUGAUUAGGUAGUUGGUGAGGUAAUGGCUCACCAAGCCGACGAUCAUUAGCUGGUCUGAGAGGAUGACCAGCCAGACUGGAACUGAGACACGGUCCAGACUCCUACGGGAGGCAGCAGUGAGGAAUCUUCCACAAUGGGCGAAAGCCUGAUGGAGCAACGCCGCGUGAAGGAUGAAGGCCCUCGGGUCGUAAACUUCUUUUAUAAGUGAAGAAUAUGACGGUAACUUAUGAAUAAGCACCGGCUAACUACGUGCCAGCCGCCGCAGUAA
RNAcentral lists this ribosomal RNA (467 nucleotides) under uncultured bacterium. RNAcentral describes it as "partial 16S ribosomal RNA". It matches the Rfam family "Bacterial small subunit ribosomal RNA", at positions 28 to 523 of the family's 1533-position model. The record is from RNAcentral.